This 491-nucleotide ribosomal RNA is filed under the name uncultured bacterium. RNAcentral describes it as "partial 16S ribosomal RNA". It matches the Rfam family "Bacterial small subunit ribosomal RNA", at positions 29 to 506 of the family's 1533-position model. The record is from RNAcentral.
AGUGAACGCUGGCGGUAGGCCUAACACAUGCAAGUCGAACGGCAGCACAGUAAGAGCUUGCUCUUACGGGUGGCGAGUGGCGGACGGGUGAGGAAUACAUCGGAAUCUACUUUUUCGUGGGGGAUAACGUAGGGAAACUUACGCUAAUACCGCUUACGACCUACGGGUGAAAGCAGGGGAUCUUCGGACCUUGCGCGAUUGAAUGAGCCGAUGUCGGAUUAGCUAGUUGGCGGGGUAAAGGCCCACCAAGGCGACGAUCCGUAGCUGGUCUGAGAGGAUGAUCAGCCACACGGGAACUGAGACACGGUCCAGACUCCUACGGGAGGCAGCAGUGGGGAAUAUUGGACAAUGGGCGCAAGCCUGAUCCAGCCAUACCGCGUGGGUGAAGAAGGCCUUCGGGUUGUAAAGCCCUUUUGUUGGGAAAGAAAAGCAGCAGGUUAAUACCCCGCUGUUCUGACGGAACCCAAAGAAGAAGCACCGGCUAACUUCGG